This is a non-coding RNA of Oryctolagus cuniculus (rabbit), 4738 nucleotides long. NCBI's taxonomy places the organism in Eukaryota, Metazoa, Chordata, Mammalia, Lagomorpha, Leporidae. The record is from RefSeq and is a predicted model, not a curated record.
UGUAACUGACUAGGAGGGAAGUGGGAUAUGAGAUUAGGACCAGUGAGAGGGUGGACAUCUAAAGAGCCCUGGGACAUGCUCUGGACGGGAAGCCCUUCACCUUGGCCAGCUCUUCGGGGUACAGCCCAUGGACAUCUCGGAAGGCCUGAAAUCCCAUCCAUGGCCAUCCAUGGGAUUUGGGUGGUCCCCAGGCCAGCAAAACACCAGAUGAGAACUAAGAAGGCAGAACCCGUGUGACCAUCUGACCCCUUAUCCCUCUUCUCCUUGGCAAUAAUUCCUCAUCAUUCUCGUAUUUGGAGUUGAGGCUCAUCUCCCCUACGCCGGCAGUCUCGACACCUGUUGCAGUAGCCCUGAGUAAAGGCUGCCUUACCACUUUAACAUCUGUCAGUAUAAUUCUUUAACAGAUAACACUAAGACAAAUGCCUGUCUACUCUCUUGUGAGUUUUGCGAACUGCCCGAUUGAUCUACUGAUUCGAGGAGCGAUCGCGAGCCUUGGGGUCGGGCUCAGGUGGAAGGCUGAGGCUGCCGGGCUCAGAGAGUGUAAGGGAGGCGGCACCAAGAUGUGGACAGACAUCUCUGCAGCUCCCAGCAUCAGCUCUGAGCUGACCUCCCGGCAGAGUUGGUGGCUACCAAAACGGGGCAUCUCAUUUUUUUUUUUUUUUUUGACAGGCAGAGUUAGACAGUGAGAGAGAGAGCGACAGAGAGAAAGGUCUUCCUUUUGCUGUUGGUUCACCCCCCAAAUGGCUGCCAUGGCCGGCGCGCUGUGCUGAUCCGAAGCCAGGCAUCAGGUGCUUCCUCCUGGUCUCCCACGCAGGUGCAGGGCCCAAGCACCUGGGCCAUCCUCCACUGCCUUCCCGGGCCAUAGCAGAGAGCUGGGCUGGAAGAGGAGCAACUGGGACAGAGUCCGGUGCCCCAGCCGGGACUAGAACACAGGGUGCCGGCACCAUAGGCAGAGGAUUAGCCUAGUGAGCCACGGUGCCAGCCAGGGCAUCUCUUUAUUGAGUGGGAAAUGGAACCCAAGCUCAUGGCUUCCCUCACCCUGACAACCUCCUGUGACCAGGGGCUGUUGGACGAAGAUCUGUGUUGGGACUCUGAACCCCAGAACCCUGCUGGCUCCCACAUGGAGGUGAACCAUUGCAUAGGGCUGGUCCCGCCCUCUCUCCAUGGAGCCUGCUCUCCAUCGGCCACGUCCCAGGAGGAAGAGUUGGUUCUUCAGUGGGCACGACGUGUAGUCUCAACAUUGGGAGCCCAGAGGGCCCCUACAGAUGUGACUCGCUGCCUCGUUUGACAGCUGGGAACCGAACCGUUGGUUUAAAACCCUCCCCUCAUGCCAAACAGCGAAUGUGUGGGCAAAGCCAGUGAUGGAAUCUAGACCUGGAGCUGUGGGAAGCUCCCUUCCCAAUCAGCGGGAUCCUACAGGCUGUCUUCCAAGGGAGUCGGAAAGGGGCUUCGCCAUUAAUUCCCACCCUCGUGGGUGAGAGAAAACGACCCUCUAAACUUUUCUUUGUGGGAGGAGGAAAAAAUAAGAAGCUGUGAUUCAGCAGGGAAUACAAUUUUAAAAAUAAGUCUCGGGGCCAAUGUGUUUAGUGCCCGCCCCGUGGGGAUCCUCAGCCCAUAACUCGGGAGCACAAUGGCCUUUCUUGUUCUGAAUGAGCGUGAAGUGCCGGCAGAGGAAGUAGGAAGCCCCAAUGCGGUCUGAAUGGACCUGUGAACAGGGAUAAUAAAAGUUGUCCUGGAUUUCCGUUACCACCAGGUGUUUCCGCAGGGACUUCCAUCCAUUCAGGCUCGGGGCAGCCGCUGCUGCCAAACCUUCCCCUGUCGACCCUGGCCCCUUGCCCCAUGCCCCUGACCUCCCCAUGGCCACCAGAGGCCACUGGGGCCUGGGCUGCUGGGGCUCUGUGAUGGACAGGUUCUGGUCCCCAUGACCCGGGUCUGUAGAGUUUGUCGUGGAGGAGUCAGCCAGCGAGGAGAGGGAAGGAGGUGGUUGGAUGACAGCUGCUCCCGUCCCCAGUUUCCACAGGGGAAGCUCAUGAAAAGAACCCUAGAUGCGCAGAGAGACAGGUGGCCCUGAGCUGUGGGGGGGUAAAGACAUAGGGGCUGGCAGGUCAGCAGCAGGGAGGUCUGGGGUGAGAAGCGGAGCAGGACAACCCACCCACCUGUGAGGACUGACACUCCUCAUGCAAGGUGCAUGUCCUCAAGCUUGCCCUGUGACCUUGAGCAUGCCACACCCCUCGCCAGCCUGUCCCUUAGUUCCCAAUGAGAAGGCAGCAAUGGCCUGCACACCGAGGGCCACCUUCUAGGAGCUGAAACCGACUGCAACACACAAAUGACUUACCAACAGGGAAGGGGGCUUCCAUUGCAGCCCCCCACAUGAGCCAGGCAGGAUUUUGUGGUGAGCCGAGUCGUGACCAGGCCAUGGAACACACACCUGCUCGCUGCCAGGUUUGCUGAGUCAGACGCCGGGGAGGCCGCCAGGGAUGUGCCGCCGGCCUGAGACCGUGUCACUGGGCCGAUAGUCAGACCCAGGUGAGCUGGAAUUCUGGCAGCCCUGCAAUGCAAUGUCUGUCUCUUUAACUGUCAGCGUGAUACACCCACCUUCCCAGGAUGCACCUGUGCCUCAGUGGGGAUCAGGGCGCAUGCUCAGCCCCCACCCCACUGGUUUAUCUGAUUAAAGUACCUCCCCCUACUGGAGAACGGGGGUGGGGGGUGGGGGGCUGUCUUCACCACACACCACAGUUGGAGGUAUUUUUCUUUGUUUUUUUUUUUUUUUGUUGUUGUUGUUGUUGUUGUUUUUUAAAGAAUUAUUUUACCUAUUUGAAAGAGAGAGGCAGAGAGAGAGAGAGAGAGAGGUCUUCCAUCUGCUGGCUCACUCUCCAAAUGACUGCGACGUCCAGAGCUGCGCCGAUCCGAUGCCAGGAGCCAGGAGCCAGGAGCUUCUUCCAGGUCGCCUACGCAGGUACAGGGGCCCAAGGACUUGGGCCAUCCUCCACUGCUUUCCCAGGCCAUAGCAGAGAGCUGGAUCUGAAGAGGAGCAGCUGGGACUUGAACUGGCACCCAUAUUGCAUGCUGGCGCUGCAGGCUGGGGCUUUAACCUGCUAUACCGCAGUGCCGGCCCCUUCUUUUGUUCUAAAGAUUUAUUUUAUGGGGCCGGCAGCUGUGGCGUAGUGGGCUAAGCCUCCGCCUGUGGUGCCAGCAUCCCAUUUGGACACCUAUUCGUGUCCCGGCUGCUCUACUUUUGAUCCAGCUCCCUGCUAUGGCCUGAGAAAGCAGUGGAAGACGAUCCAAGUCCUUGAGCCCCUGCAUCCACAUGGGAGACCUGGAAGAAGGCCUUGGUUCCUGGCUUCGGCCUGGCCGCUGUGGCCAUUUGGGGCGUGAACCAGCAGAUAGAAGAUGUCUCUUUCUGUCUCUCCUUCCUCUCACUUCUGUAGCUCUGACUUUCAAAUAAAUAAAUAAGUCUAAAAAAAAAAAAAAAAAAGACAACUGGGCUCCUAUCAAAUGCUGGGCUCGAGCUGUAUGCAUCAAGCCGAUUCAUGGCCGUGCUGCCCUGACAUGGGAGAGCCUUGUCGUUCUGAAAUGAGAGGAGUUAUUCUCUCAUGGUAGAAAAUAUCACAAAGUCCUUGGCUCUUUCUAUAGUGGGUGGCUUACAACACUCACCUGCUGGAUGGUCUCGAGGGGCGUAUGUGGACGGCUGAUGCUGCAGCCACUGGAACACGUUCCUCUGCAGCUCCGAGUGUGGUCUGUAAACCCCACCACCUCCUCGCUCAGCCUCUCUUGCUUCUCUGUCAGGUCGGUGAGCCAGAAAAUCGGUGUUUACUCAGAACCUGCGGAGAAGAGCGGUCUUGUCAUUCACAUGUGGUGAGCAAGCUCCAACGAUGGACAGUCCAGGUGUGUGAUCGGUAUCUCCGUGUGUCCCCUGAGGCCUGUGGUAAUUACUCACUAGAGUUCUACGUAAUGACAUCCAAGAGCAGAUGCAUCUUCAGGUCCCCAGGCUGUGAUGAGGGCAGUGAUAACACACAGAUGAGCAGCUUCCUAGUGAAUACAGGGCCGUGUACUCGGGUGGGGUAAUGAGGGUACAAAUGAUGGCGCAGGUAAGAACACUGAGACUCCUGGAAGCACACGGCUUGUCAGAAAUCUCACAGCCUAGUAAGUGGCCAAAACAGUCCUGUCUUCCUGGCCAGCAGAGCCAGCUCUGCAGAGCACUGCCUCCCUCAGCGGCAGCGCCCCUAGUUGCUAAGCUGGCUGAUACAGGCGUUCGUGCCGGGCAAGUUUGUCGGAUUCUGAAACACCACGGAGACCAGAUGACUUUCCCUUUUUUAGAAGUAGGAGGAAGGUCAAGGCUUCCCCAACUCUUCAAGAAGCCAAGUGGGUGGGUGGGUGGCUGGCAUAGUGGGGCCACAACACUAGGGAUACCCACAGCCCAUAUUGGAGAGACGGUCCAAGUCCCAGGUGCUCUGCUUCCAAUCCAGCUCCUUGUCAAGGCACCUGGGAAGCAGCAGACGAUGGCCCAAGUACUUGGGUCCCUGCCGCCCAUGGGGGAGACCUGGAUGGAGUUCCUGGCUCCUGGCUUUAGCUUGCCCCAACCCCAGCUGCUGUGACCAUUUGAUGAACAAAGCAGUAGAUGGAAGAUCUCUCUGUGUCUCUGUCUCUCUCUCUAAUAAAUAAAUAAAGUUCUUUUUAAAAAGAAGUUGAAUGGCCCAGGGCAUCUGUUAGAGCUGAGGGGUGACAACGGUGCUGUCCC